This 497-nucleotide ribosomal RNA is filed under the name uncultured bacterium. RNAcentral describes it as "partial 16S ribosomal RNA". It matches the Rfam family "Bacterial small subunit ribosomal RNA", at positions 28 to 507 of the family's 1533-position model. The record is from RNAcentral.
GAUGAACGCUGGCGGCGUGCCUAAUACAUGCAAGUCGAGCGAACAGACGAGGAGCUUGUUCCUUCGACGUUAGCGGCGGACGGGUGAGUAACACGUGGGUCACCCACCUAAAAGUCUGGGAAAAUUUCGGGAAUCGGGCGCAUACCCCGGAUAAGAUUCCGAACCGCAGGGUUCGAUAGUGAAAGAUGGCUUUUCUAGCACUUAUAGAUGCACCUGCGCCGUAUUAGCUAGUUGGUAAGGUAACGGCUUACCAAGGCAACGAUACGUAACCGACCUGACAGACUGAUAGGCCACACUGGAGCUGGACCGGGGACCAGGCUACUGCGAGAGGCCGCAGACGGCUAUGUGACGCAAUAGGGGGGAACCUGACAGAGCAGGCCCGCGUGAGUGGUAGCGGUCUUCGGUGCGUAAAGCUCUGUUAUUAGGGGUGAACAGACGUGUAAGUAACUGAGCACGUCUUGACGGUAACUAGUCAGAAAGCCACGGCUAACUACGUG